This is a long non-coding RNA of Hibiscus syriacus, 994 nucleotides long. RefSeq lists it as uncharacterized. The transcript has 7 exons. Lineage: Eukaryota; Viridiplantae; Streptophyta; Magnoliopsida; Malvales; Malvaceae. The record is from RefSeq and is a predicted model, not a curated record.
UCCCUUUUCUCCCGUCUCUUCCCGGCCAAACCCUCCCUCCUUUAUUUUCGGUCUCUCUUCUUCCCCGAUCAGCAUCCAAAAUCUCUCCCUUUUCUCUCGUUUUCCCUCUUUCAUUGUUGUUUCCGUUUGCCGAACCCUUUAUGUUCUCCUUAUCUCUUUGUUAAAUUUGGGUUUAGUUUUCCCCUUAAUUCAUCGAUCCGUUUGUCAAUUUAAUUUCUGUUUCUUUUCCCUGUAAAAUAUAUAUUGCAUUAUAGAUCCAAAUUUAAGUCGUUUUUUUCUAAAGUCUGUCUGUGCUAUAUCAGGUUCAUGCCGUUGAGAGAACUCCUUCAAUGAGUGAGCUGAAUGAAAAUUCUUCUUUCACAGGAUGUUGAGUUUGAAUCCUAAGACACAAAGAAACAAAAUCGUGGAUCCACAUCUACAAAAAGGACCCGUGCUGCGGAGGUCCAUAACCUCUCCGAGAGGAGACGCAGAGAUCGCAUAAAUGAAAAGAUGAGGGCUUUGCAAGAACUCAUACCUCUCUGCAACAAGUCAGAUAAAGCUUCAAUGCUGGAUGAAACAAUUGAGUACUUGAAGUCGCUUCAGUUGCAAGUUCAAAUUUAGCACUUAUUGAGAGAGGUAAACAGAUCCAUACGCACAUAGUUAGAGUUGGCAGCAAAGGAUACAUGAGAAGGAUGUUGUUUCAUGGAACACAUUAUUAACCGGGUUUGCUCAAAAUGGGCAUGGAGAGGACUCGCUUAAUGUGUUCAGAAUGAUGACUGUCAAUAGGAUCACAGGGUGGAAUUCAGUUUGCCACGGCUCAACUACCUCUUCUUGAACUUAUGGAUUGUGGGAUAACAAUAUGCGAUCUUGAUUCUCAGAAUCCACCUUCUGAUCAAAAUUCUGACAGUGAAGUUCCAAAUGUAUUGAACAAUAAACUGCACCUUAUGUACCAGAAGCUUAUCAUCAAACACAGUCGACUAAAGAAACUCAGCUUGUGGGGUUGUUCUGGCUUAGA